Molecule: long non-coding RNA, 1603 nt
Organism: Phyllostomus discolor (pale spear-nosed bat)
Lineage: Eukaryota; Metazoa; Chordata; Mammalia; Chiroptera; Phyllostomidae
Exons: 3
Source: RefSeq, a predicted model, not a curated record
ACUAGAGACCAGGCCUGUUGUGACCCCGGGGCCGGUGAGCUGCUCUGGAGGUCCAGGAUGGCCCUGGGCCAAGAUGCGCCCUCAGUGAAGCCCCACCGCUCCUGUUCUGAGGCUCCAUAGUCCAACCCAUAGCAGGGCAGCCCUCCCGUCUUUUUCCCCACAAUCAGGCUGCCACACUGGCAGGGGGCCCUCCCCUAGAGUCACAGCUGGCCAGGCCUGUCCUUGCUCAAACCCUGUCCGUGGCUCCCAUGUCCCCAGACCCUGGGUUGGGCGCUUGGGCCUUUCCUGAAGUGCCCGACUUGUCUUCCGGUCCCGCUGCACCACCUGCCCCGCUCCAGACCCCUCAGAGGCCAUGUCUGUGCCUCUCGCCACUCCCCGUUUUGGAGACUCUCUCUUCAUAAGCUUGUAGGCUUUGACUUCCCCUUCAGGUUUCCUUUCCACCUGCCACUUCCUCCAGGAAGAUUGCCCUGGGCCUCGGGUGGAGCUGACUGUCUCCUCUCCGGAGUGCACACAGAGCUGGCUUCUCUGGUGUCAGGAGUUGUCUAUAUGGAUGGCACCCAGCCAAGAGCCUGCCCCACAGCAGGUGCUCAGGGAGUGUGUGCGGACCCCCUGACUGAGAGCGUGUAGAAGGAGGCCUCCCCAGCCGAGGAGGGGUGCGCUGGGCAGCCUUGACUACUCCAUCAGACCGGAGGUCCUGAGGGGUCCCCUGGCCUUCAGGACCUCCCCUCCUCGGGUUCUGGGAAGUUAAAGACACAACCUUCAGGGAAGAGGGCUGUCUGGAAGUGAGAGGUGCCCUUUCUGCCGGGACUGUGGGACUCCUGCCAGUGGGCAGCAGUGUGGCCUUGCUUCUCUCCCUUGAAGAUUCCCAGCCAUGGUCACCCUCACCCCCACCCUCUCCUUCAGCCCACGUGGGGCCCCGCCUGGGGGCUGCACCGGCUCAACCAGUCUGGCCAGCCGGGCAGCCCGGCCUCCUGUGCAAUCCGGUGUGUUGUUAGCCUGUCCAGGGCCAGGAGAGAGAACAGCCACUGGGGUUGGCUGCUGGGCCGAAGCUCCGGGGGCUACGUGCUUAGCUGAGGGCCAGACCUCCCCUUCUGGGUCCAUGGCCCAUGGCUUUCUAGAGCCCGUGCUGGAUCGGCCGAACCCCCAGCAGGGCAGCCAGCUCCCGGGGCCCUCACAGCGUGUCUUCGCCGAGCCUCCUAGUGCCUGGGAGGGAGGUGUUGUCAUCCUCCUUACCCAGGUGAGAAAAUCGGUUGAGAGAGUUUAAUUCUGUUGCCCAAUGUCACAGAGCUGGUAGUGGCACAACUGGGACUCGACCCAGGGAGGGCUGGGGUCAUUUCAGAUGAGAGCCACAAAGGGGUCACCACAUCCUCCUACAGAUUCUGAAAGUCCUAGCCUGGGGCCCAGACCUCCCGGAGCUCCCCCGGUAGGAAAUCCCCAUCCCACCUGGCUGGUAGGAAAUCCCCAUGGUUUCCAGAACCCUGCAGGAGGCGGCCGGUCCCGACCAGCUGGCUGGGUCUGCCUGCUUGCUCUGAGGUUCUGGGAGGUCCUCCUCCUGGGACAGUUUGGGGAGAUGGCUGUGAAGUGAGUGACCUGGUGCCGCAGU